ACACUCCUACGGGAGGCAGCAGUGGGGAAUUUUGGACAAUGGGCGAAAGCCUGAUCCAGCAAUGCCGCGUGUGUGAAGAAGGCCUUCGGGUUGUAAAGCACUUUUGUCCGGAAAGAAAUCCUUGGCUCUAAUACAGUCGGGGGAUGACGGUACCGGAAGAAUAAGCACCGGCUAAAUACGUGCCAGCAGCCGCGGUAAUACGUAGGGUGCGAGCGUUAAUCGGAAUUACUGGGCGUAAAGCGUGCGCAGGCGGUUUGCUAAGACCGAUGUGAAAUCCCCGGGCUCAACCUGGGAACUGCAUUGGUGACUGGCAGGCUAGAGUAUGGCAGAGGGGGGUAGAAUUCCACGUGGAGCAGUGAAAUGCGUAGAGAUGUGGAGGAAUACCGAUGGCGAAGGCAGCCCCCUGGGCCAAUACUAACGCUCAUGCACGAAAGCGGGGGGAGCAAACAGGAUUAGAAACCCUGGUAGUCCC
Molecule: ribosomal RNA, 472 nt
Filed under: uncultured organism
Description: partial 16S ribosomal RNA
Rfam family: Bacterial small subunit ribosomal RNA
Source: RNAcentral